RNAcentral lists this ribosomal RNA (323 nucleotides) under Cherax bicarinatus. RNAcentral describes it as "partial 16S ribosomal RNA". It matches the Rfam family "Bacterial large subunit ribosomal RNA", at positions 2078 to 2607 of the family's 2925-position model. Lineage: Eukaryota; Metazoa; Arthropoda; Malacostraca; Decapoda; Parastacidae. The record is from RNAcentral.
GGACGAUAAGACCCUAUAAAGUUUAUACAUGGGGCUGGUUGAGAGUGAUUCAGAAUAGUAAAGUUUAUUAUUAGCAAGAUGUUUAGUUGGGGCGACUAAGAUAUAAAUUAUAUAACUGUCUUUUGUUUAAAUCAGAGGUGUCUGUUCGUAUGAUCCUUUUUUAGGAUUGGAGAGUAAAUUACUUUAGGGAUAACAGCGUAAUUUUUUUUGAGAGUUCUUAUCGACAAAAGAGUUUGCGACCUCGAUGUUGAAUUAAAAAUUUCUUUGUGGUGUAGCAGUUACGUAAGAAGGUCUGUUCGACCUUUAAAUUUUUACAUGAUUUG